UGGGGAAUUUUGGACAAUGGGCGAAAGCCUGAUCCAGCAAUGCCGCGUGUGUGAAGAAGGCCUUCGGGUUGUAAAGCACUUUUGUCCGGAAAGAAAUCCUUGGCUCUAAUACAGUCGGGGGAUGACGGUACCGGAAGAAUAAGCACCGGCUAACUACGUGCCAGCAGCCGCGGUAAUACGUAGGGUGCAAGCGUUAAUCGGAAUUACUGGGCGUAAAGCGUGCGCAGGCGGUUUGCUAAGACCGAUGUGAAAUCCCCGGGCUCAACCUGGGAACUGCAUUGGUGACUGGCAGGCUAGAGUAUGGCAGAGGGGGGUAGAAUUCCACGUGUAGCAGUGAAAUGCGUAGAGAUGUGGAGGAAUACCGAUGGCGAAGGCAGCCCCCUGGGGCCAAUACUGACGCUCAUGCACGAAAGCGUGGGGGAGCAAACAGGAUUAGAUACCCUGGGUAGUCCACGCCCUAAACGAUGUCAACUAGUUGUUGGGGAUUCAUUUCCUUAGUAACGUAGCUAACGCGUGAAGUUGACCGCCU
This 529-nucleotide ribosomal RNA is filed under the name uncultured bacterium. RNAcentral's name for it is "partial 16S ribosomal RNA". It matches the Rfam family "Bacterial small subunit ribosomal RNA", at positions 355 to 874 of the family's 1533-position model. The record is from RNAcentral.